GCAUCUGAAUCUUUCCCGCUCCUUGCUGCACAGUGCAGGUUCGGGGACAUGUGAUGCGAAAGCAAUGCAGAGUAAAUCCAGGCAGGUUGCUCUUCUCUUGCAGCGAGACUUGUCUCUACAACUCUGCAACAUUU
Hemicordylus capensis (graceful crag lizard) is the source of this 134-nucleotide small nucleolar RNA. RefSeq annotates it as small nucleolar RNA SNORA55. NCBI's taxonomy places the organism in Eukaryota, Metazoa, Chordata, Lepidosauria, Squamata, Cordylidae. The transcript has a single exon. The record is from RefSeq and is a predicted model, not a curated record.